Molecule: long non-coding RNA, 1155 nt
Organism: Zophobas morio
Lineage: Eukaryota; Metazoa; Arthropoda; Insecta; Coleoptera; Tenebrionidae
Exons: 3
Source: RefSeq, a predicted model, not a curated record
UUUUAGUAACUUGUAAUUUUGAGUUGGUGUGACCGAUCAGCUGAUGCCUUUAAUAUGUACGAUCUGUACCGCUAAUUCUGACGUUUGGUGUUAGUACUGCGACUCGUGUAACCCUAUUUUGCCUUGUGUUUUAUGUACCACUAAGUAUUUGCUCUGCGUAAUUUGUAGUUUGCUAGUAUACUACAAUCAAAAGAUUUGUUGAUUUAUAAUCAUGCCAGGACAUUAUUGUGCAGUGAAAAAUUGUACAAACAAUUCUGUGAAAAAUAGAAGUCUAAAUUUGGAAAAUGUAGAUCCAUGUCUAAGUUUCCACUCUUUUCCGCAAAACGCUAACGUUCGAAAAAUGUGGGAAAAAUAUUGUCAGCAAGAUGAUGAAUGGCAGUCAAAGAAAACUUCUAGAAUAUGUUCAAUUCAUUUUGAAGAAUUGAACAUAUGAAAUGAGAUAUAAAAAUGAAGUUCUUAAAGGCCCACUCCGACAGCGACUCAAAGCAAAUGCAAUCCCCAGCAAACCAUUGGUUUUUACUCCACCCUUGAAUGUGGUUGAUUCAUGUAAUCCACCAGAGACCGAAGAAGUGCAUCAAGCAAAAGUAGUUUAUUUAGAAGCAGAAAUAAAAAAUCUCCAAACGCAAAUUACAACACUCACUGAUGAGAAACUUCAACAGCAGCAAUAUAUUUCGUAUUUAGAGAAGAAAAUAAAAGAUUUGGAACAAGGAUUUACAAAUCGGAAACAAAUAAUUAAUGUUGGAGAAUUAUCAAAAAUGUUUUCUCCAUCAUUAACGGAAAAUCAAAUUAAUUUAUUACUUAAAAGGAAAGCAAAAGUCAGAUGGACAAGUGAUGAAAUAUCUAAAGCUGUGUUGAUCAUGAUUAUUCAUUGCCACCAUGGGUGAGCCAUGUUUCAUAUGGUGGUUUAACUGAACCCUCAGAUCUGCUGAAGCAGGAGUGUCGAUUAUUGAAUCAUAGGUUUAAAGUAAUAAAUAGAAACAAAAAAUUUCGUUUUAAGAAAAAAAUUGUUACUCGGAUGACCAAUUUGUUAAAAAAUAUGGUGGAGCUCCCAGAAGAAAUCACAAGGGCUUUUUUAAAACAGAGAACUUUAAUUAGAAUUAAAUAUUUAAAUAAUAAAUCUGAAAAUAAACAAAAGUAUAAAAAAUUUAAAAAAUU